RNAcentral lists this ribosomal RNA (468 nucleotides) under uncultured bacterium. RNAcentral's name for it is "partial 16S ribosomal RNA". It matches the Rfam family "Bacterial small subunit ribosomal RNA", at positions 28 to 507 of the family's 1533-position model. The record is from RNAcentral.
GAUGAACGCUGGCGGCGUGCUUAACACAUGCAAGUCGAACGGAAAGGCCCUGCUUUUGUGGGGUGCUCGAGUGGCGAACGGGUGAGUAACACGUGUGUAACCUGCCCUUGACUUUCGGAUAACUUCAGGAAACUGGGGCUAAUAUCGGAUAGGAGCUCCUGCUGCAUGGUGGGGGUUGGAAAGUUUCGGCGGUUGGGGAUGGACUGGCGGCUUACGAGCUUGUUGGUGGGGUAGUUGCUUACCAAGGGUUUGACGGGUACCCGGCCUGGGAGGGGGACCGGCGACAUGGGGACUGAGAGACGGACCAGACGGCUACGGGAGGCAGCAGGGGGGAGUAUGACACAAUGAGCGGAAGCCUGAGGCGGCGGCGCCGCGGGCGGAAAGACGUCCUUCUGGGUGUAAACCGCUUUCGCCUGUGACGAAGCGGGAGUGACGGUAAUGAAUAAAGAAGCACCGGCUAACUACGUG